AUACGUAGGGGGCGAGCGUUGUCCGGAAUGAUUGGGCGUAAAGGGCGCGUAGGCGGCGCGGUAAGUCUGGAGUGAAAGUCCUGCUUUCAAGGUGGGAAUUGCUUUGGAUACUGCCGCGCUUGAGUGCAGGAGAGGUUAUCGGAAUUCCCGGUGUAGCGGUGAAAUGCGUAGAGAUCGGGAGGAACACCAGUGGCGAAGGCGGGUAACUGGACUGCAACUGACGCUGAGGCGCGAAAGUGUGGGGAGCAAACAGGAUUAGAUACCCUGGUAGUCCACACUGUAAACGAUGAAUGCUAGGUGUAGGGGGUAUCGACCCCUUCUGUGCCGCAGUCAACACAAUAAGCAUUCCGCCUGGGGAGUACGGCCGCAAGGUUGAAACUUAAAGGAAUUGACGGGG
This 397-nucleotide ribosomal RNA is filed under the name uncultured bacterium. RNAcentral's name for it is "partial 16S ribosomal RNA". It matches the Rfam family "Bacterial small subunit ribosomal RNA", at positions 523 to 918 of the family's 1533-position model. The record is from RNAcentral.